This is a long non-coding RNA of Brienomyrus brachyistius, 540 nucleotides long. RefSeq lists it as uncharacterized. The record is from RefSeq and is a predicted model, not a curated record. NCBI's taxonomy places the organism in Eukaryota, Metazoa, Chordata, Actinopteri, Osteoglossiformes, Mormyridae. The transcript is spliced from 2 exons.
UGUGGUCCUACGAGGAAGUCAGGAGGAGGCUUCAGGGGAGAGGAGCCUGCUUCUCCUGCCACCGGGACUCAUCUCGAACCUCAGCGCACCAAGAGGCUCCCCUUGAACUUCAGAAAAACUACCUACACGGCUCUCGGACCUCAUAGAACGGUGCUGUGAGCUCCGGACCCCGGCCUGCGCUGUCAGUGAAGGCUCAGGAGAAGGUCACGUCGCACAUUAGUCUCCCGAGCUCACACAGGCUUCUCGACGUGCUCGCCUGGGCGUAAGCAGGAACGCUGCCACUCCGCGUGUCUCCAGUCACGGAGCUACGGCUGAAAAGCCGGCCGGUUUUGUGAAUGACUGCAGGCAAAAAGACGCCGUUGACCCAACCUCGACACUCACGUCCCAUUUCCUGUCCUGGGCGUCACCUCCACAGAGUAAUACCAGUGAUAUCAUAGUCACUGGAGGGGAUCCAGGGAGGGUAAUGCUGUGUCUGACUCACCCACAAGAAUCAGAUUCAUACUGUGUGCCCAGGAAAAUAAUAAAACAGUACACUAAUGA